AAGCCAUGAUGGGGGCAGUCUCGUUGGUACGAUUUGAAUCGCACCCAAGAAGCUUUGAAUGCUUCAGUUGGUUCCUGAGAAAAAGUUGAAAUUUUCGUCCUCAACUC
Molecule: small nucleolar RNA, 107 nt
Organism: Eutrema salsugineum
Lineage: Eukaryota; Viridiplantae; Streptophyta; Magnoliopsida; Brassicales; Brassicaceae
Rfam family: Plant small nucleolar RNA R71
About the family: R71 is a member of the C/D box family of snoRNAs containing the C (UGAUGA) and D (CUGA) box motifs. Multiple nearly identical copies of this snoRNA have been identified in Arabidopsis, and it is thought to function as a 2'-O-ribose methylation guide for 18S ribosomal RNA.
Source: Rfam